GUUCACUAGAUGGGAGAGGUGUGCCAAAAAUAUCCCCAGAGACACAUCCGCCACAUAAUAGUUACCGAAAACUGGAACAUGUUGCAGUUCACUAGUCAACCAAAGAGGUGUACCAAGAAGAUAUAGCCAGGUACAAUUUGAGCGUCUCAGUAGUCUCCGAUGACAUUAAACAUGGUAUCGCAUCUCUUUUCCCUCCUGUGUUUCUUGGCAUUGCCAAUGGUGGUGGCGGGGGAAAAAUUGUGCAUCGUCUACACUAUGGCUAGCCAUGGCAGCAACGAUGGCAUUCCGAGCCAAGGAUUUGACAGCGAGAAGUGGUACAAAGUACAUCGAUUAUUUGAUCGACACACGAACGCCAGCAUCGCAGCUGAAGGGAGGAAGUUCCUACAGUUUUUUAGCGAGUGGUACGGCAUCAGUUUGGACGUCGGUAACGAUACACUGUCAGGGGCUGAUCCAACCACUCUGUAUGUCGAGGCAUCGGGAGUUCACCUAAUUUUUAGACUCUCGGUCCUACCAAAAUACGCUAAUUAUAGACUUUAUUCGGAGUCGCGUGGCAAUGAAGUUCGUUUUUACCGUUCCAAGAUUUGCAGUGUUGGAUGGAUGAUUUUGUUCAGAGAUGAGUUUACUGUAACCACGGGCCGAAAUCAGGGAAUGGUCAUUCCAGCAAGAAGCGCCGUCAGGUCUCGAGUCUAUUACAUAAAACCCGGGGGAAAGGGCUUCGAUAACGUAAUUAAGCUGC
RNAcentral lists this unclassified non-coding RNA (736 nucleotides) under Lingula anatina. RNAcentral's name for it is "uncharacterized LOC106172988, transcript variant X2". The record is from RNAcentral. Lineage: Eukaryota; Metazoa; Brachiopoda; Lingulata; Lingulida; Lingulidae.